AUGACAAGCACCCAACGGUCAGAGAGCGCUAACCACAUGUUGAAGAAUUUUGUACCUGCUGGUGCCUCAAUGCACAUGUUUGUUAGGAACUACCAGAAACUUCAGUUUGACCGUGAUUCAGAAGAAAAUUUUGCUGAGAAGAAAAGCCACUUGGUGAGCAUAGUGCUCAAGACCGGUUUGCCUAUGGAGAGGCAUGCUGCGAAGGUUUACACACCUGCGCUGUUCAAACAGUUCCAAGAAGCAUGCUUCAAAUCUACAUCCUACUACGUCGAGAACACUCUGGUCAUAAACGAUACAUAUUGUGUCACACACCUUUUUGCAGAGCGGAGAGAGAGCUGGUCAAAAACAUCUUACAAUGUCAAAGUGCAUCAACCUGAGAAUAUCUUCAAAUGCGAGUGUGGAAUGUAUGAGCAUAUGGGUUUGCUCUGCUGCCAUGCGAUCCGGGUAAUGGCACACUUGAAAUUCACGAAGAUACCAGAAGAGCACAUCAUGAGGAGGUGGACUAAAAAUGCAUGUGACGAUUUACCUGAGCACUUGAAAAUAUAUAAGGGACACAACCCUAUCCUGGAAUCAACUACCUUCAGGCAUACAACACUUUACACAACAGCUCUUGAUAUUGUAAGGAUGGGUGACAGCAACCCUGAGGCCUUCGACCUUGCAAUGGUAAGGCUGUCAGAUGCAAGGGAUGAUCUCAAAGAAAAAGCAACUGAGAAAGAUGGCAAAGGACUAGAGGAUAUACUAGGUAAAGAAAACAUUGAUAUCAACGGGGUUGAUGCAGGCGACAUUAAUCUCAAAUCAUCAAUGAUGAUAGAAUCUCGCAAGAGAGAUCGUGGGCGACCUACCAACGCAAGAUCUAGGCCAGGCUAUGAAGUGAGCAAUCCAAGAACCAAGUUUUGUAAAAAUUGCAGGGGAAAGGGACACAACUCUGGGAAGUGCCCAACAAAUGACGGAUCAAACAAGAAGCAGAGGAAAGAACCAAAGUGCGGGAAGUGUGGCGUACUUGGACACAUCAGGACACAAUGCAACAGAACAUUUGAAUCAUGGUUUAGAUGA
RNAcentral lists this ribosomal RNA (1053 nucleotides) under Triticum aestivum (bread wheat). RNAcentral's name for it is "partial small subunit ribosomal RNA". The record is from RNAcentral. Lineage: Eukaryota; Viridiplantae; Streptophyta; Magnoliopsida; Poales; Poaceae.